CGGGGCAGCUCAGUACAGGAUG
Molecule: non-coding RNA, 22 nt
Filed under: Dasypus novemcinctus (nine-banded armadillo)
Lineage: Eukaryota; Metazoa; Chordata; Mammalia; Cingulata; Dasypodidae
Also listed under: 8 other names
Gene: dno-miR-486-3p
Source: miRBase by way of RNAcentral